UUCAUUGAUCAUUUCCGAAAAGAACAAGAUAUGAUGGAAAUCCGCUUAACACGCCUUGCUGCAGGUAUUUGCAACAUAGACGCGAGAAAAACUAAGUAUGAGCAACUGAAUCGACGCUUAGAAGCAUUAGUAGAAAAUUACGCAAACAUGGAACAUAUGGACUUUCUUCGUAGUAUAGUAUAUCACAUAACCUUGAAAUGUAAUUUUUGUAAAGAAUGUGAUAAGGAACAGAAACCUUAAAGGCUUGAAGUGAAUUAAAAUUAUUAAUACCAAACUGCAUUUAGAAUUUCUAUUAAUGUGUCCAUAUACAAUUUUUUAAAUGCGUUUUUUAAUAAAUAUUUUCAAAUGUCAUAAUUCGUUGUUUUUUACUAAUAUUUAGAAUUUAAUUAGCUUACCUAUUUCUUCGGGGCCAUUUUGUCGGGGUACCAGUAUAAAUGGUAUAUGCGAAAUAAAUUUUUAAUAUUUAGAAAGCUUCUUAUAGCAACUAUAAGAAGCUUUAUAAAUUUUAAAAGGGUUAUUUCUUAAAGAAUUUAAUAUUAAAAGUGAUUUGGAAGAGUUGAGGUAUGAUGAACAUGGAUCU
This 580-nucleotide long non-coding RNA is filed under the name Androctonus crassicauda. The record is from RNAcentral. Lineage: Eukaryota; Metazoa; Arthropoda; Arachnida; Scorpiones; Buthidae.